GUCCACGCCGUAACGAUGAAUGUUAGCCGUCGGGCAGUAUACUGUUCGGUGGCGCAGCUAACGCAUUAAACAUUCCGCCUGGGGAGUACGGUCGCAAGAUUAAACUCAAAGGAAUUGACGGGACCCGCACAAGCGGUGGAUGAUGUGGUUUAAUUCGAUGCAACGCGAAACCUUACCUACCCUUGACAUGUCAGAGAUCCUGUAGAGAUAUGGGAGUGCUCGCAAGAGAAUCUGAACAUAGGUGCUGCAUGGCCGUCGU
Molecule: ribosomal RNA, 259 nt
Filed under: uncultured bacterium
Lineage: Bacteria
Description: partial 16S ribosomal RNA
Rfam family: Bacterial small subunit ribosomal RNA
Source: RNAcentral